Long non-coding RNA from Rhipicephalus sanguineus (brown dog tick), 3046 nucleotides. RefSeq lists it as uncharacterized. The transcript is spliced from 3 exons. The record is from RefSeq and is a predicted model, not a curated record. Lineage: Eukaryota; Metazoa; Arthropoda; Arachnida; Ixodida; Ixodidae.
AGAGCCUGAAACGCCCGUUUUAGGCACUUUUCUCCCUAAAGACGGCCACUGGCCUAGGUACUGAGGAGAAGAACGCCCCUAGCUCCACUUGUCCCUAGCUUGAUCGGCAGCCAUAGGCCAUGCGCGCUUCACGCCGGUGUCAACCCACGCCAAAAAGCAACACAGCAAGAUGACCAAAGGAUGUACCACUUCAAGAUGGAAAUGGCUAUGUUCAAAGAUAUUUUAGAGAUGUACAACAACGAAGAUAUUGGGAUUCUCGUUGCAUCGAUAUAUGCGAUCUGCAAUAGCAAUGUCCAAAGCUUAACGGGCACUUUCACGUAGAGAGCCUUCCUUAUUACAGCACUUAUUCGCAAAAUUCUUGCAGCAACAUGUUCACAUCGUACAAGUGCGCAUCUCUCCAUCAGAAAUUUUGGACCGCAAGGUUGUUUACUGCCACUUGAAGAAACACCAAAGCCUCCAACCCAAUAGACAGUAAACAAGAGUAAGGUAGCCAACAUAAGAAGGUGCAAUAUGGAGAGAAUUGAACAUGCUUUUCUAAAGAACAGAAGAAGCCUAAAAGCAGUGAAGAGAAAAUUGGGCACAGGCAAAAACCAUAUGUAUGCACUAAGAGAAAGGCAAGGCAGUUUCACUACCAAUAUGUAUAAGGUUGUCAAAGCAGCUAUGAUUUUCUACAGAGAUCAGCCAGGACAACAAUGGUAGUAAUAACAGUAGUAGUCUAGACGAAUCUCACCAACAAUGGCAGGUGAAGGAACGAAAACUUCUUGUUAGAAGAAUUGGCAUCUGUUCAUCUUAAAACCGCUUCAUGCACAAAAAACACACCCCUAGAGAAAAUUCUGCCAGGAGCAAAGACACAAAAGCAAGAGAAUUAAUGGAAGCUUUUUACAUAAGAAAGCAAGAAAGUUUGUGUGUUAGUGAUACAUAAGUAGUUUUAUAUAAGAUUGAGAAACAGUUUAUUGAGCGUGUGUUAUUGUAUUACCCCUGAUGUUCAAAUAGAUGUUUGUUGUGCAGGCGCGAAUUGAUGGUACAUGUGUGUGUGUGGUUUCUGGGAAUUAAAGCAGCUGUGAGUGGCGCCCCGUCCAGUCAUCUUCUCUUGUGGUGUGCGUCUUCUCUUUUUUUUGUGUGUCUAAAGCAGCUUUAACAUGAAGGAAAGAAAGCCUUAGAGGGAAUGCAGUGGGGCAAAGCAGCUGGUUAUGAUCAGGGGUGUUGCUGUACAGUGAUGCUAUUAGUUUUCUUGUGCCCUUUACCGCCAUCAGCCAUCUGCCACUGGUCAAAAAAUGCAGCCCAGGAAUUUUUCAGCAGUGCCAGAUGGCUAUGGUUAGGAAAAGCAUUAAAAAAAGUAAUAGCAUUGCUCUGCGAUAACACGCCAGGUAACAGCAGAUCUAUUUAAAGACGGGGGCACACUGUUCUUGAAAAACUGGCCAGUUUGUAUAUGCAAUGCCUUUUUGCUGUGAGCGUACUGAAAUCUUUGAAGAAUGUGAACAUUGCCCUAAUUAAUUAUGUAUGACAUUACUAUACAGUUUUAUGUACUUAUAAGCUUUGUUUAUCAAUGUCUUGUAUUAAUGUAUUUUUUUUUUGUUUUCGGUACAGUUAACUUGUGUACCUAUUUGUAAUUUGUAUCCAAUAAUCAUGUGCAGGGGGUCAUGGUAUGGUCUCAUAACCGAGGAACCCUUUUCUGUAUAUCCCUUUUUGUUGUAAUCAUGCUUUGCAAAAUAAAUGUUUGAAUGAAAAGGGGCAUCAAGAAAUUGAAAAAUUAGAAGCCGAUCAGCUUACUCAUAACUGCUAACAAGGCAUUUGCAAAAGUAAUAGCUAAUAGAAUUAGGACCACCUUAGAAUCCAAUCAACCAAAUGAGUAAGCAGGAUUUCAUACAGGCUACUUAACAAUAGACCUUAUUAGCACUGUUGAUGUUAUGGAUAAAUGCAUGGAAUAUAACCAACCCCUAUAUAUAACCUUCACAAAUCAUGAGAAAGCAUUUUAGUCAGUUGAAACCUCACCAGUCGUGCAGGCAUUGCAGAAAUGGUGUGUACACAAAUUGUAUACAAAAAUACUGGCUAAACUCUAGCUUGCUGAGCCGUAGGAGUACAUAUGUAAAUUUUAUUACAUUAUUAUAAAACGGACAGUCAACACUGCCACGCCAACUGUUGUUAGACAACCGUUGAUUAAAACAUUUAUUCACGAUCUACAUGGUGUGGCUGCAGCAUGGUGGUCUGCAGCACAUUUGCUACAGUAAAAUCACCAACUAUAAAUGGUAUGUCUUUCUCUUGUCUAACCCACACAAGAUGUCUUAUAAAACUUCCAGUGUCUAUUUUCCAUGUUCCUGGGAUGAUAUAGACCAGGGGUCUCAAACACGCGGGCUGGACCUUUCGUAGCGGCAUACCCACGAAUGACUGUCUUUGUCCCGCACUUUUUUUUCUUAACAGUCUUUUAGCAAGCUACUGAAAUAUGGUACACAAAUACGGUAAGGCAGUACGGUAGCGCUCCUCCUUUCCUGCUCGUUGUGCUUAAGCCGCUCCCAGUUCAGGUGACAGUUCAGGAAACUGUGCGGCUGACAGGCAACAAUGAUGCGUGACAACCGCACAGUAACUUUUGAGAAAGCUUUUGUGGUGUUGGGUUGCCUUCACCGGCAAAAGCACAACGAGCGGGAAACGAGGAGCGCUACCGUACAGCCUUACCGUAUUUGCGUACUAUAUUUUCGUAACUUGCUAAAAGACUCUAAUAAGCAUGUUUAUGAGCUACAGAGACACGACUGGUUUUAAGCACUUUUUCCUUUGGCACCCCCAUGUGAGGUUGCAGUGCGGUGAAAAAUAACCAUGGAACAAAAACUGUAUAUUUCAGAAACAAGGUCCAGAUUUCAGUCAUUAUGGAGAUCUCUCGAGUCCUGCUGUCAAAUCCCUCAAGAAGUGACCCACAUAUGACAUUUUGUUCAAGCUAAUGUUGAAACUAACUAAAUGGCAGAUACAAGAAUGAAGCAUCAAGUUGGCGAUUGCAAACAUGCAGCACUGCACUUUCCCCUGAUGUUGGACUUUGGCAAGAGGAUGCGCCAGCCAG